UGAUCCAUCAUUCAUCCAACAUGUCAUCUAACUUAGUGAUUGGGUGACGAUACUUUACCGUUAUAUUAUUGAUGGCUCUAUAAUCCACGCACAUUCUCCAUGACCCAUCUUUCUUUGGCACAAGCAAUACUGGUGCUGUACAUGGAUUCAUGUUCUCCCUUACAUGACCCUUGAUUGUCAACUCCUCUACUUGCCUCUGAAGUUCCUUUGUCUCCUCAGGAUUACUUCGGUAAGCUGGUCGAUUUAGAAUGACAGCUCCAGGUAUAAAGUCAAUCUGGUGUUCAAUACCUCGAAUGGUUGGUAACCCACUAGGCAUGUCCUCCGAAAAUAUUUCUUCGAAUUCCUGCAAUAAAGAUUUAGCCAAACUAGGGAGGGAUGUGUUAGUUUCCUCCAAAUUGAGGAGUGAUGAAAAAGAUCAUUUCUUUUCUCUCAACUACCGCUCUCCUCACUUCACUCCCUUUUGCAAAGAAAUUUGCUCGUGAUUUUUCUUUUCUCUUAGAAAACUCUUUCUUUUCUCUCUUGUGGCUCCUCUCUCUUUUUCUCUCUAGUAGUCACCUCACCAUUUUCUCUCUUACUCCCUACCUCAUUGUUUUCUCUUAUCUUCUCUAACUCUUUUACCCUUCUCUCUUCUUCAUUCUUCAACUUGAUUUGGUCCUCAUAUACUUGCGUCGGCGUUAAGGGCACAAGGGUA
RNAcentral lists this long non-coding RNA (691 nucleotides) under Olea europaea subsp. europaea. The record is from RNAcentral. Lineage: Eukaryota; Viridiplantae; Streptophyta; Magnoliopsida; Lamiales; Oleaceae.